This 284-nucleotide long non-coding RNA is filed under the name Salvia miltiorrhiza (redroot sage). RNAcentral describes it as "long non-coding RNA (SMIL_LNC014071)". The record is from RNAcentral. Lineage: Eukaryota; Viridiplantae; Streptophyta; Magnoliopsida; Lamiales; Lamiaceae.
GUGUACAUAAUGAAAGAGAGAGUAAGAAAUGACAAAUCCUAUUUAUGAGCUUCUUCUUCCUUCUCUUCUCUUCAAUGGUCUUCAAUGGUAGAUGGGUGUGUUGUUGGAGGCUAGGGUUUAGUGUGUGGAGUGUUGGGGAAGAUGAGUGAUGGAGAAGAAGAAGAAGAAUGAGAGAAAAAGGGGGAAAAUGGGGUUUAAGGGCUGAAAAACGCGACUCCGCUCUUUUCCCGCGGUCACGGCCCGCGCCCGUGGUGCUCAAACGUGGGCGAAACUCAGGGAACCCG